AACGGUCUAUACCUGCGGUACCUGCGGAGGGAUCAUUAACGAUUUCGGUGUAAAAAACCGUUUUCUACCUAUGUCUACGCGUACCACUUGUUUCCUCGGGGGGCUUGCCCCCCGCUAGGACCCUUUAUCAAACCUUUUUGUAAUAGCAGUCAGCGUCUGAUACUACGUUAAUUAUUAAAACUUUCAACAAUGGAUCUCU
Molecule: unclassified non-coding RNA, 199 nt
Filed under: soil metagenome
Description: partial contains 5.8S ribosomal RNA, internal transcribed spacer 2, and large subunit ribosomal RNA
Source: RNAcentral